This is a long non-coding RNA of Lepidothrix coronata (blue-crowned manakin), 719 nucleotides long. RefSeq lists it as uncharacterized. NCBI's taxonomy places the organism in Eukaryota, Metazoa, Chordata, Aves, Passeriformes, Pipridae. The transcript has 3 exons. The record is from RefSeq and is a predicted model, not a curated record.
GAAGCCUGACAGGAGGAUACAGUGGUCGCAUCUUCAGAUCAUCAGGACAAAAAAUAUCAUAAAACUUUUUUGCCGAAGAGCUUGGCAAAAUGGUUUUGUUUGCUGCACAACCAAUAAACCACUCUUAAGAAAAGUGCAGUAUCAAAAUGUUUGGAAGAACAGCCAAAUCUUGGUUUUAUAACUGUGCGAAAUCUACCAAAAGAGAAAAUGAAAACAGGAGUAAGUGGCUUUCUGAAAUCCCAAGCAAUCAGAGAGAGAAAAUACUGGAAGAGCUGGAUGUGAAAAAAGUGCUGUCAUAUUUGGUUUACAAGAGAGUCUUUUCCUUGGAGGAAUGCAAAGACAUUUGGUCCCAGGAGAGCUACAGGAAGAGAACUGAAUAUUUUUUAGAUAAACUCUCUCUAAAAGGCCCAGGUGCUUUCUCUGCCUUUUGUUCCAUUUUGGAGGAGGUCAGUCCUAACUUGCUGACAUGCUUUCUCCUUGGCUAUGAAGACUACAUGAAUUUCCCAGUGUUACCAGAGCAAACAAAACUGAGAACUGUUGCAGGGAUGGAGCUUCAUGAAACCUGUCAGAUGAGCAACCAAGAAGGAAGCCUUUCUGCUGAGGAACAACUGAAUCAAUCAUUCAACAAAUACAGGUUAAAAUUAUCACUGUCAUGAUGUCUUUUAUGAUCCCAAUAUAUAUAUUAUUAUUAUUAUUAUUAUUUCUCAUGAUUAAGUUCU